UUCAACAAACUACUAGUUUUAGCAGAAGAAAAAAAAAUCAUCCAUUUGGUUUCAAAUCUAUAAAUUCUAUUUAAAAAAAGAAAGAAAUAAUUUUGUAAUGGAUGAUUUAGUGAUGAAGUGUACCCAUUCAACCUAAUUAUUGCUUUCAGGAACUCUUUACGCCAAAAUAGUUCUCAUCAUAUUAUGACGUUUCGUUGGUGAGAUGAUUUUGGAGUGGUAAAGAGGAAAGAAUGUCAGGAGAAUUUCUUUGUAAAUUACGUCAAAUUUAUGGUGAGUAAUGUUUUAAU
This 287-nucleotide long non-coding RNA is filed under the name Mytilus galloprovincialis (Mediterranean mussel). The record is from RNAcentral. Lineage: Eukaryota; Metazoa; Mollusca; Bivalvia; Mytilida; Mytilidae.